CCCCUUCUCUUUUUUACGUGCAUCAUCAACAUCAUCUUUGUACUCCCAUCCCACCCCUCUCUCUCUCUCUCUCUCUCUCUCUCUCUGCUAAAGAGUUUGUCUUCUUGGGUCGUCAAUAGUGUAUUCUCUCUGCAGCUAUAAAUUUGCAUAGAUACUCUCUCCAAAUGUCCUCCUUUUCUUACUGUGUAUUAAAUUUUCACUGUCCAUUGUAGCGCCCAGUGCAUAUAUGAAAAUUAGACACAGGA
Molecule: long non-coding RNA, 245 nt
Filed under: Eucalyptus grandis
Lineage: Eukaryota; Viridiplantae; Streptophyta; Magnoliopsida; Myrtales; Myrtaceae
Description: long non-coding RNA (EGRA_LNC002193)
Source: RNAcentral